AUUGAACGCUGGCGGCAUGCUUUACACAUGCAAGUCGAACGACAGCGCGGGCUUCGGCCUGGCGGCGAGUGGCGAACGGGUGAGUAAUGCAUCGGAACGUGCCCAGUAGUGGGGGAUAGCCCGGCGAAAGCCGGAUUAAUACCGCAUACGACCUGAGGGUGAAAGCGGGGGACCGAAAGGCCUCGCGCUAUUGGAGCGGCCGAUGUCGGAUUAGCUAGUUGGUGGGGUAAAGGCUUACCAAGGCGACGAUCCGUAGCUGGUCUGAGAGGACGACCAGCCACACUGGGACUGAGACACGGCCCAGACUCCUACGGGAGGCAGCAGUGGGGAAUUUUGGACAAUGGGGGCAACCCUGAUCCAGCCAUGCCGCGUGCGGGAAGAAGGCCUUCGGGUUGUAAACCGCUUUUGUUCGGGAAGAAAUCCUCUGGGCUAAUACCCCGGGGGGAUGACGGUACCGGAAGAAUAAGCACCGGCUAACUACGU
RNAcentral lists this ribosomal RNA (483 nucleotides) under uncultured bacterium. Its description in RNAcentral is "partial 16S ribosomal RNA". It matches the Rfam family "Bacterial small subunit ribosomal RNA", at positions 29 to 506 of the family's 1533-position model. The record is from RNAcentral.